Molecule: ribosomal RNA, 238 nt
Filed under: uncultured bacterium
Lineage: Bacteria
Description: partial 16S ribosomal RNA
Rfam family: Bacterial small subunit ribosomal RNA
Source: RNAcentral
CCGGCGCACGGGUGCGUAACACGUAUACAAUCUGCCCAUAACAGGGGGAUAGCCCGGAGAAAUCCGGAUUAACCCCCCAUAAUAGUUGAAUCGGCAUCGGUUUAACUUGAAAACUACGGUGGUUAUGGAUGAGUAUGCGUAUGAUUAGCUAGUUGGUGAGGUAAUGGCUCACCAAGGCGACGAUCAUUAGGGGUACUGAGAGGUUAAACCCCCACACGGAUACUGAGACACGGAUCCG